This is a long non-coding RNA of Prinia subflava (tawny-flanked prinia), 7937 nucleotides long. RefSeq lists it as uncharacterized. The record is from RefSeq and is a predicted model, not a curated record. The transcript is spliced from 4 exons. Lineage: Eukaryota; Metazoa; Chordata; Aves; Passeriformes; Cisticolidae.
AAUAAAAUAAAAUAAAAUAAAAUAAAAUAAAAUAAAAUAAAAUAAAAUAAAAUAAAAUAAAAUAAAAUAAAAUAAAAUAAAUAUUGUAAAAGCCAUAUUAUUGUCAGAACCACAAAUAUUUUUGUAACUCCACAGCAUAUGCACUGAGCUGGGCUGUGUGUCUGUGCUCCAGUGGGGUAACUUUUUGAAGGUAAUACCAGCAUGGACAGGGUGUUUCUUUCUGGAACUGAUCACCUAUGAACAAUGGAUACAGAUAAAACACUGGAGAAAAUGUUCUGGCUUUCCCAGCCACUGAUCUGUGACCCACGGAGCUGCCUCAGGUAACACAAUGGUUUUGUUUAAAGUUUCAGGAAGAUGUUGCAGAUUUCCCAAGUCCCUCAGCUGUUUGCUGGGAAAGGUUUGAAGCUACACUGAUGAGCUGUGCAAUCUCCUGCCCAGCUUUUCAACUGUUCCUAUAGGUGGAAAAAACAUGAAGGUCUUUUCCAGAUGGGGACUGUGCCCAACAAAGGAUUUACCUGCUGAUGGACCCUUUGGUAGCACUGCAACAACCCAGCUAAUUACAAAUUAUUAUCUUGAGCCAAAGCCUUCAGGUCAAACUGGCCGAGACGCUUCAGGUGGAAGCUCAGAUCAUCUUUGAGGAAGAAGACAUGGAACCAGGACAAGCAGCUCUAAGUUCUUUAUUCAUAUCAAUCACCGACUCAAUGCCUUUGCUCUAUAAGCAAUUCACUGAUGGAUAUCCAGAGGUGGUGAAAAAACCCUGAGCACACACUUGUGAAAAAUCUGGUGACUGGCAAACUGGGGACUACCCUGAGCAUGAGGACCUAGUGGAAAAGAGAAGGGAAACAAAUACCCUAAUAACCAAUUUUAACGUGAAACUGCUCAUUUUUGGCAUCACAAAGGCUGAGUUUCCCCAGCUCCCCUGGUGAGACAGUCACUGAGGGCAGAUUGUGCCCCUCAGAACCAGGUCCCCACAAGACAGAAGCUGAGAUUUGCUCACAUGGAACAAACAUUUAACCAAAGAUGUGUAAACUGUCAUGAGAUACUGCAAAGCAGUCAAAGCAGUUGUCCUUUGGGCUGCUCAGAAAAUGUGUUUCUCUGGAUAAUUUGAAAUGUGGAUGUUUAGCUAUGAUUUGUGAGUCACUUGAGUCACUCUGGUUUCCUUUUUUUUUUUUUUUUUUUUUUUUUUUUUUUUUUUUUUUUUUUUUUUUUUAGAUAGUUCUGUAUUUUUAUUGCUACCAUUGCCCUUAUUUACAUUCUUCAUUUUUUAGAACAAAUCCAAGAGGUUUCCAAACAUCCACUGAGCAUUAACCUUAAAAAUUAAUUAUCUAGAUGUUUACAACAACAUUUACACACUGUGUUAGGAAAAGCAAUUUGCUUCCCCAAAGAGUACCUAUUUUUCAGUUAGCAAAGAAACUGUAGUAUGUCAGGAAUAACACAGGAGGAAGCAUCAGUCCAUCAUUUCAAAUCAAUUUCACAGUUGCAGGAAAGGUGAACAAAGUUUCCACAGGUGAAAAUGCCAGGAAAAUUUAUCCUUGUUCUUAGCCUGAACUCCAUUGUGUCAGACAGCAAUAUUUCAGGAGUUUUUUAAAAAACAUUUUUUUGAAAGACCAACACAAAUGUAAAUGUUCCAAUUUAUAGUGGCAAAAUUAGGUGUCAGAUCCAUUCUUGUUUUCAGUGAGUUUAAAUUUUUCUUUUGGGCACUGAAGACAGAGGAUAUUUUUCCUUCUGAAUUGUGGCUCCCCUCGCCUCGGUCCUGCGGGUUUGGGUUGCAGAGGAGAUGCAGGAGCCCAGCUCAGCUUUGCCCUCUCCAGUCCCAGCCUCCCCACACACCCCAGGAGAAAAAUCUCUCUGCCAUUUCAGCCUCCAGAAAUACAUCUGUGCUAAUUUACAACUGGAAAAAAAAAUAUGAGAGUUCACCUCUUUUAUACCCCCAAAUAAAUAAAUGAAACUGUUCAGACAAUAGAAUAGAAUCAGUAUUUUCAAAUGAGCUUUUUAAUGAAGCCUGAAUGGAUUUCCAGACCACAUGAGCAGAAAACUAAGUAAAAUCAUUGGGGAUUUCUGUUAAAAAGCUCCUAAAAAAAGAAGAAGAAAAAAGAAAAAAGAAAAAGAAGAAAAAGAAAAAAAAGAAAAAGAAAAAGAAAAAGAAAAAGAAAAAGAAAAAGAAAAAGAAAAAGAAAAAGAAAAAGAAAAAGAAAAAGAAAAAGAAAAAGAAAAAGAAAAAGAAAAAGAAAAAGAAAAAGAAAAAGAAAAAGAAAAAGAAAAAGAAAAAGAAAAAGAAAAAGAAAAAGAAACUGAUCUUAGGGUAGAAAAGGCAUUUUGCAUACAAGGAACUGGCAAAGCAAGGGGCAGCAGAGAAGAAAGCGUUGAGAGCUGAAGAUAGAAAGGUGCCAUUAGGAAGAUGGCUUUGGAGCAGAUUGCAUAGAAAUAAGAUGAAAUUUUUCUUAAAACCAAAAAAGCAAACAAACCAGCUCCCCCAGCCCUCUGAUCAGCAAAGAAAUCAGAACUGUCAGCUUUCAUCUGCAUUGUACAAUAAAGCUAAACUCAAAAGAAUAGUUAAGUUUUGUUUCAAGCCACACAAAGCUAAUUUUUGCUGGCCAUGGCUUUCCCUAACUAGGUGUUUUGGACUCUGAGGAACAUGAGAUUUUCUAGGUUGGAGAGUGUUUUAAUAUUGCUACCGUGUCAACUUUGAAUUAUGCAGGGAUUUUUAAAUAUGGAACUGUUCCUCUACUUAUGAUGACAGGCACAUUCACAUCAUAUAAAAUUGGGAAUGAGGAAAGCUAAACAAAGCCAGGGAGUUCUGAAUUGAUCACCUAAAACAUCUGCUGUAUUGCUUAGGAAUUGCAGCACAUAUGGUAUAUCAGAGCAUCCAAUAUUUGGAGGCACACUACCUAUGCAGAACAUCCAUAAAAUGCCAGAAACGCCCAUUUUGGCCAUUUCAAUCUUCACUCUGAAUGUUCUUUUUUUAAAAUAAAAUGCCUAAAAUUAUUUCUGGGUUUAUUUUUCUGUUUUAUCAUGUAAUUUGAUUGCAGUCAGCUUAUCUGCUGCCCUAAGUCUCCCCUGUGUUUCUGUACAUUGGGAAUGUUAAUAGUGUUCAAAAAACAACAAGAACAUAAUGAAAAGAGAAAAAGAAGUGAUCCUCUAAAUGUGAUCUUUCCUAUCUACUCCUUGCACUUAUUCUGAAUCUCACCUCCAUUAGGGUACAAUAAUCCCACAGCAACCCUAGCACAGUAUUGAUUAACAACAAAUCAGAAAUAUGCAUUUAAAAUGGGAUUUUGCUCUGAUCUAACAAUCCUGUUAUAUCACGCUCCAGAUCUUGCCAAGAGGAAGGAUGUGAUAUUUUUUAACAACUGACCUCAGAGUGAAUUAGGCACCCAAAUAAUUUUUAGCAGUAAUGUGUUUUUGAGAAUGACUCUAAGCAUCAAAAUCUCUGUAAAACAGGUCAGAUUGGAGCCUCUGAUUUUGCAUCAAAAAAAAAUAGCAAGGCAAAACAUAUCAAAUCAUCAAAUAAAAGUAUUUUUUUAAAAUACUACUGGCCAAUUAUUCACUUUCCUUUGCAAGUUUGGCUUUGAUUUGAGGGAGAUAAGAAAGGCUGGACUGUCAUAUCCACUCAGACUACAUCCCAAAGGAAGAGAGAGCUGCUGUGCAAAACAGAAAAAAUACCAAAUGGGGCAUUGGAGCCACAGAGCCAGAGGAACCAUAACACUGAAAAUAAAUUCUUCAAAUGGGAACUAGUCUAGGGAACAGUACAGGUUCAGAAAAGAUGGCAGAGAUCAGCUAGAAUACUUGCAAUUUCUCAUGCCAGUUUCCUUUAACCAGUUCAAUCUCAGAAAGAGGUAAGGGUGAACCAUGAAUCAAUGCUCACUGAGUCUCUCUGGUAAACUUAUUAUUUGUUGUUGCAGUCUCUUGCAGAACCCAAGACAAAGGCUUUCCCUCUGCAGAUAAACACUAAUAAAAGUGCCUGUAUUUUCUCCUUCUGCUUUGAACCUAAUACAUGGGUAAAAAAGAGGAGCAAGCUGCAUAAUUCUUAAAACCCCUCCCAAAUUUAUUUGAUUACAUUCUACAAGUGAUUACAAAUAAACCCAGAACUAAUUCACCCUCUAUAUCUUCAGGCAAACCAGAGAGAUCCUACUCACCUGUCUCAAACAUUCAGAAUUUCAGAAUAUUUCAGAAUAACAAUAUUAUUCUGGGGUGGCAAAGAGGUGAUAUAGGUGCCAGUUUAGACAAUUCCAGCUCACAUAAACAGAAGGCAACGUGGAACCCAAAUUGGAACACACAAAACCAUGUACCAUUUAAAACAAGUUCCGUGCCUAGCAAGCAUUGUCCAGUUUAGCAGGAUUAUUAUUUCUAACACCAGAAUGCUAAAAUAUGGUAUUUAAUGAAGCUGCAUUGCGUACUUAAUGAUAGCCAGCUGAAUAAUUCUGAAAACUAAAAGCUUAUUUUCUCUCUUUGUACCGAGAUCAUUGAAACCCAAGAGGGUAAAACUCACAGCUCACAUUAUCUGUGCCAUAAACUUACUCUAAACCUAAAAGGCCUCAAAUUUUGUAAGAAAAACAAAAUUCGGAGCUUUUUAAAAGAGCAGAUCCCAAAAGCAAAACUACUGCUGAAGCAGAUAGAAUUCUGUGAGGGCUCCCUCUUUUGGCAACAAAAUAAAAGCUUUGCAGCUCAUCAUGAAGAGAUUUUCACAAGGGGUUCUUUGCUUUCAGGAGCACAAACCUCUCAUCACACAUGGCCUGCCUGACUUCUAGGGAAGACCUCAGCUGCCCAAAAGUCUUCACUUAGCAAUACAAAAAACGCUGCUGCUCUUGAAUUUUGGAGUUACUUAUGCAGUCCCUUGAUUCUGAAGAGUGCUUGGAGCGAGAGGAACCACUCAAAAUUCCACAUUUUCCUGGGAGCAAAAUCUUGCUGGGAGCUAAGAGUUACAGGACUGGCCAGGAGCAGGCAGAAACAAAAGCAGUUUGGCAUUGGCUGGGAUAAAAAUCACAGGAUUAGUCAAGAAAAUAGGUCACAGAGGACAGGCCAAAGAACAAGUGUGAAAAAUGGCUUUUUCUGAUUAGUCCCUUCCUGGGAAGUGUGCCAGAAAGUACAGAAGGUCCCCAAGAAAUUUCCUCAGGCCAAGUUUCACUGUGCAGCUUUUCCAGGGAAGCUGUCAAAUGAAAAAACAUCUAGAAAAUUUUAUAUCACUAUUGGGAUUGCUGGUAUAGAAUUUUUUUACCUGGACACAAGAUUUCUAAGAGCUGCUGGUGGCUUGGGAAGGGGCCCUGCCCUGGCAAGGAGCUGCACCUGAAUUUGCAAUUACCUGGGGGCUGGGAUGUCCAAGGAAGGAAAAUCUGUUCAUCUGAGUUGUUCCCACAUUUCUCAGUAAAAUGGAGUUUGGGGUCAGUAUGUACAACCUACAGCAAUUUGAGGCAAGUUCUUUAGUAUUCUACUAAAACCCCAGACCUAUUCAUAAUAAUUUAGCCUUAUAGACAUAUAUAUUUAUAUUUAAUAAAAGAUAGGAAAGGUUUUGGAUAACUUUUUCCUUUUGCUUCUCUGUAUUUUACAUCACCUAAUAUUCUGAAACCCCAUUUUUUUUAGAGUGGGAACUUUUUAGCAACUUUUGGUAAGGGUUAUUGAAAUGUAAAAGUUCAUUAUGUUAUAAUUGUCUCAUCUGGGCUUCAAAGGCUUUUGUGUAACUGAGGGGAAUUGGGGAAUUUGUGUUACUUUGAGGGGAUGCUGGUUAUGUGAACUCAGAGCGAGCUCCUUAUAAACAUGACAGAUAUUAUGGGGUCUCUCAAUUUAAAUACCCUGUCUGCAAAAGGCAGAUUAUUCUGGAUUUAUACACAUAAAGAGAAUAUCAUGCUAACUUUUUAUUAAAAAUUAAAAUCUUUCGAGUCACAACAGAGAUCAAUAUACCACAAUUGGAGUGAAGUAGAAUGAUGAUCCUGUGGUUAAGUAAUUGAAAAGGGAAUUGAGUAAUCUGUCAUUCUCCCUGCUCUGGGCAACUUAGCUCUGGAUGUCUUAAGCACUGCAUUGUAGGCUCCUAAAAGGGUUAGAUAUCGUGUUUCCAAAAGCAAUUUCAGCAAGCAAGGCAGCAUUUUCGGUACAUUCCUAAAUAAAGAUGGUAUUUUUUUUCAUUUUGCACACCCUGGAGUUGUGGCCUUUUUUAACAUCCUGGACUAAGAAGGUUCAAGGAGCUCGACAAGGUGGCCAGUAAGGAUGGAAGGAUGGCCACAUGAUCUGAGACAAUCAAGAAUUGCCCAUCUCUGACCUGGCAGGUGGGAAUGACCAUGGCUGUGAAAUGUGAGGCUGGGCAGGAGGUGCUGGGAGCUCUGAAAUGUGCAGAGCAGGUCUGAGCCCAGCCCUCUGCCUCAGAGCAGAGCUGGACCUGCCUGCAGAUGGCUUUGAACAGCACCCUGAGAAGUCUGACACCUCAAAUCACUUCUGAAAAUGAGACUAAACCACCUAAAGUACUUAUGCAUUACUCUACACAAUGCUGUGGAGGUCAAGUUCUAAAUUCAAGAGCUCUUCAGAAAACCAACCUGCUCAGCUCAGCAGAAAGGCUGCUGCAUUUCCUUUCUCUUGUUCUUCCCCCUUUUACCAGCAGAAGUUUCUCCUGUCUGGGAGAACAUCAUGCAGUGUUGAGGUGUUCCACUGGGUUUUUUGUGCAGGUUGUCCUUUGCUGUGUGUUCACACACAAUUACAAACACCACUGCCUGGUUAUCCUGUGGGAUGAACCCGAGGGAGGUGGGCAGAGAUGGAGAACCACGAGGAUUUAAAGAAUAAAGGCAACACAAAUGCAAAAAGACAGGCAAAUGAUGAUGUAAUUCUGUAUGAAAAUACAUCUGUACAAACAGUAUAGGCAAAAUCUGUCCUGGUUUCAGUAUGGAUCUGAAUAACCUCCAGAAUCUGGAGUGAUGCUUCUUUCCAUCACAUUCCAUCAGUGCUUUCCUUGCACCCAACUGCAGCAGCUCAGGAGGGGAAGUGUUUGCCUUCAUUUUGAAUUUUUCUGCCUUUUGUCACAACCUUAAUUUCACUGAUUUGCUGAGUUUUGUAUCUUUAUAAAAUGCACCAUUCAAGCUUCCAGCAGACAUGCAGAUUAGCCUUGUCCUAAAGCACCUCUUCUCUAUUUAUCCCAGGAUAAUUAGUCACGUAAAUUAGAAGUCAUUACCAAAGGCUACAAAAAAAAAAAAAAAAAAAACCCUUUAGCAAAGGCUUGUUGACAGGCUAAACAUGUUUAAAAUACUUUUAGGUCUGAGGGUGGGAAGAGAGGGGUAUGGACGUGGGGGAGGUGGGGGGAAGAGAAAUAUCAUCAGAGGAAGGAAAUUCUGGCAGAGAAAAUGGGGCUGUGUUAAUCUGUAUUCAUUCCUAAAGAAAGACUUAAACCAUUGUGUGCUGCCACGGUGAUAUAUAACUGGGGACAUUUAAAAUGCCAAGCCAUAAAAGUGUAUUUUCUUCAUUACAUUUUCGUUGAAUGCUUUGAUCUUCCCAUUUUACGCUGUAAGUUUGAUUCAUCAUUACUUUCCAGUAAGAAACUGCCACAUUUGAUUGUGGGAAGAAGAAUUCUUAUCUAAUUGCAAUUUGUAAGCACAGGAUUUAGUGUAUUGUUGCCUGAAAAAUGGAAGUGUCUAAAUUAUUUUCCCUGAAACUAACAUCCUCAACAAAUAAAAGCAACAUAUGAUAGCUGGGCAUAAUUAAGGAAAAAUGACACCUACUGUUACAUGAAUAAAGAAAAUAUGUUGAUGACAAGAAAAGAAAAAAAAAAGUGAUUUCCCUGCAGUUUUGGUAAAACACAAAAGCAUCACAUUUUAGUUCUUUUAACACAUUUGUUCAAUGAAUUGGAAAAAAAGCAAUCCCACCCUCCAAAGCAGCCAGUAAUGUACAGUUAUUUCCCUGCAGUGGUAGCAGUGCACGUCAGACAUUUUGGAUUUGCUGUGCAGGCACAGCAGCCCUGUCGGAGU